UACGUAGGGUGCAAGCGUUGCUCGGAAUCAUUGGGCGUAAAGAGCGUGUAGGUGGCUAGAUAAGUCGGAUGUGAAAUCCCUCGGCUCAACCGAGGAAGUGCAUUCGAAACUAUCUAGCUCGAGGAUGGCAGAGGAAGGUGGAAUUCCUAGUGUAGAGGUGAAAUUCGUAGAUAUUAGGAGGAAUACCGGUGGCGAAGGCGGCCUUCUGGACCAUUCCUGACACUGAGACGCGAAAGCGUGGGUAGCAAACAGG
Molecule: ribosomal RNA, 253 nt
Filed under: uncultured bacterium
Lineage: Bacteria
Description: partial 16S ribosomal RNA
Rfam family: Bacterial small subunit ribosomal RNA
Source: RNAcentral